ACAUCCAGCGAACUUUCCAGAGAUGGAUUGGUGCCUUCGGGAACGCUGAGACAGGUGCUGCAUGGCUGUCGUCAGCUCGUGUUGUGAAAUGUUGGGUUAAGUCCCGCAACGAGCGCAACCCUUAUCCUUUGUUGCCAGCGAUUCGGUCGGGAACUCAAAGGAGACUGCCGGUGAUAAACCAGAGGAAGGUGGGGAUGACGUCAAGUCAUCAUGGCCCUUACGAGUAGGGCUACACACGUGCUACAAUGGCGCAUACAAAGAGAAGCGACCUCGCGAGAGCAAGCGGACCUCAUAAAGUGCGUCGUAGUCCGGAUCGGAGUCUGCAACUCGACUCCGUGAAGUCGGAAUCGCUAGUAAUCGUGGAUCAGAAUGCCACGGUGAAUACGUUCCCGGGCCUUGUACACACCGCCCGUCACACCAUGGGAGUGGGUUGCAAAAGAAGUAGGUAGCUUAACCCUCGGGAGGGCGCUUACCACUUUGUGAUUCAUGACUGGGGUGAAGUCGUAACAAGGUAGGCGUAGCGAG
RNAcentral lists this ribosomal RNA (525 nucleotides) under uncultured bacterium. RNAcentral's name for it is "bacterial SSU rRNA". It matches the Rfam family "Bacterial small subunit ribosomal RNA", at positions 984 to 1509 of the family's 1533-position model. The record is from RNAcentral.